Molecule: long non-coding RNA, 1710 nt
Filed under: Bemisia tabaci
Lineage: Eukaryota; Metazoa; Arthropoda; Insecta; Hemiptera; Aleyrodidae
Description: lncRNA ENSSSA1UGG010512
Source: RNAcentral
AUGUGGUCCGGCAGCUCUCACGAAAUUUCGCAUUCCGAGCUAAACGCAGCAAAGACUUUGUCUUGCACACUUGAGACACAAAUCAUGCUAAAAACUAUCAAAGAGACAGGUAGAUGGUCACCAGUCCCACCAGUUGAUCCUGCCCUCAGUCGUCAAUUCCCAACAAAUCUUUGCUUUACAAAUUACGAAACACAAGAACCUAGUAACUAUGUUCCUCCGAAAAUUCAGACUCCCGUAGUACCUACGUUUUUACAAAAACCUACCCCUCCUCCACCAGUAAUCAGUUUUCCACCCGAUUUUGAUCCAACUCCAGUUGUGAAAGAAUUCAUUCGGUCUCGAAGCUCAACGCCCGUGCCUCGAUCUCAUGAAAUUGAUGCAAAAUUAGCCGAUAGAGAAAGUAAACAGUUUUCCGUUGUUGAGGGAGUGGCCGGUAAAAAAUCAAUGACCGAGGUAUCUAGCUCGGAGCAAAAGUCUUCAGAAAAACCUCUAGCUGUGGAGCCUGUUUGUGAAAGGAAAUACAUUGCUCAAGUGAGCACAUAUAACAGAGAUGUUUCUACAGAAAAAUCAGCCCAGUUGGAGAAAGAGGCUCACGCUGCAAAAUUUGACACUGCGUUCCUUUCAGCAUCCAAAGAAGAGCCUCCUGCAGUUUUCCCACUCGGAGACCAAUUAGUAAAUCCUGACGGUUCGAGUUCGGUAACUCUUCCUCCCGAUUCUGCCCCAUACUACCCGGAUUCUAUGCGUGAUAAACCUGAGCCAAAGAUUUUCCGCCCACAAACCCCACCGAGUGGAUCGCCUUUGUGUUUUGCCUUGACGACUGCUCCGGCGAGGUCAUAUUCUCCUCUGCCGUCAGUUACAAAGCCUCCGACUCCUCCACCCGCGGAUGCCUUACCAGAUUUCGAAACCGAGCUUCCAGUCAUUCCCGGAGUUCGUCCGGUUUCGAUGCUCGCUGCCCUGACGGUAGCAUCAGAGAGACCAUACUCUCCUGUUCUACCUAGCAAUCCUACAUUCCAUUCUGUCUCCGCGAAAACCAAAGAAGAACAAAAAGAGGAGAAGAAAGAAUCGUACAUAUCCACCCUAAAGAAAGACGUCUGGUCACCAAGAAGACUUUUGGAGGUCACAGUGACGUCAGAUGAUGACAGCUAUGACGUAGAAAAGUACGUCUCACAAAACCCAGAGUUGAAAGGCAAGCAAUGCGUUAAACUCCCACGACAUGCCAGUCCAUCUCGGCUCUCUUUCACAAACAGCGGACUUCAUAAGCCCUCUACCAUUCCUCCUUAUCAGCAAACUCUCGGAGAUGGCUCGUAUACGCCAACUAGGUCACGUUCACCACAACCUCCUGCUAUAACUCCGAAAGCAACUGAGGGGAAAUCCACCCAAGGUAAAGAUUCUAACUCGGUUAAAGAGGUUUGUCGCAACACCCCCACCCCCAAAGGUGAAAAUAAACCAUUAAAAUCUUGUGUUAAAACGUCGCACACUGAAACUGCCGCAAGCACAAAAGUCACAUCCACUCAGAGUACGAGCGUUAGCGAAUGUAAAAAGUCAGCCCAAGUUUGCUGCAAAAAGGUGACGAUUGCAGAUUCGCCCAUAACCGGACCAACCGGAGGAUCUUGUACAAGACCAUGCCAAAAAGAGGCUAGCUCUGAUAAAACAGUUGAGAGCACAUGCUCUAAUGUAUGCAAUAGAGCUGAAAAGGUUUGCUGUAAAAAGUGA